UAAUACAGAGGGGGCAAGCGUUGUUCGGAAUUACUGGGCGUAAAGGGCGCGUAGGCGGCCACCUAAGUCAGACGUGAAAUCCCUCGGCUCAACCGGGGAACUGCGUCUGAUACUGGGUGGCUUGAAUUCGGGAGAGGAAUGCGGAAUUCCAGGUGUAGCGGUGAAAUGCGUAGAUAUCUGGAGGAACACCGGUGGCGAAGGCGGCAUUCUGGACCGACAUUGACGCUGAGGCGCGAAAGCCAGGGGAGCAAACGGGAUUAGAUACCCCGGUAGUCCUGGCCUUAAACGAUGGAUGCUUGGUGUCUGGAGUUAUAUAGUCUCCGGGUGCCGCAGCUAACGCGUUAAGCAUCCCGCCUGGGGAGUACGGUCGCAAGACUG
RNAcentral lists this ribosomal RNA (378 nucleotides) under uncultured bacterium. RNAcentral's name for it is "bacterial SSU rRNA". It matches the Rfam family "Bacterial small subunit ribosomal RNA", at positions 521 to 896 of the family's 1533-position model. The record is from RNAcentral.